AUUAUCUAGCCUAAAUUAAUCCUGUAGUUGUCAAAGUGGAAUGUGUUUUGUUUCAUGGAGAUUUUGCCGCUCAAAUCUUCUCUUUCAAAUUGUCGAAAAGAAGAGCUCAAACAAAUUGCGGUGUGCAUUUAUCUCCCCGAUU
This is a non-coding RNA of Caenorhabditis elegans, 142 nucleotides long. The record is from Ensembl. NCBI's taxonomy places the organism in Eukaryota, Metazoa, Nematoda, Chromadorea, Rhabditida, Rhabditidae.